This 75-nucleotide transfer RNA is filed under the name Alphaproteobacteria bacterium. RNAcentral describes it as "tRNA-Thr". It matches the Rfam family "tRNA". Rfam says of the family: Transfer RNA (tRNA) molecules are approximately 80 nucleotides in length. Lineage: Bacteria; Pseudomonadati; Pseudomonadota; Alphaproteobacteria. The record is from RNAcentral.
GCCGCAUUAGCUCAGUGGUAGAGCAGUGCUUUCGUAAAGCAAAGGUCGGGUGUUCAAAUCACCCAUGCGGCACCA